GGAUGUUAGUAAAAUAAAUACAUAGCCUUGUCAAGACUAAAUUGCGGGUGAAAACCCCGCACAUCC
RNAcentral lists this transfer RNA (66 nucleotides) under Tachycineta cyaneoviridis. Its description in RNAcentral is "tRNA-Asp". It matches the Rfam family "tRNA". From Rfam's summary of the family: Transfer RNA (tRNA) molecules are approximately 80 nucleotides in length. Lineage: Eukaryota; Metazoa; Chordata; Aves; Passeriformes; Hirundinidae. The record is from RNAcentral.